This 440-nucleotide ribosomal RNA is filed under the name uncultured bacterium. RNAcentral's name for it is "partial 16S ribosomal RNA". It matches the Rfam family "Bacterial small subunit ribosomal RNA", at positions 338 to 795 of the family's 1533-position model. The record is from RNAcentral.
CCUACGGGUGGCAGCAGUGGGGAAUAUUGCACAAUGGGGGGAACCCUGAUGCAGCGACGCCGCGUGAGUGAAGAAGUAUUUCGGUAUGUAAAGCUCUAUCAGCAGGGAAGAAAAUGACGGUACCUGACUAAGAAGCCCCGGCUAACUACGUGCCAGCAGCCGCGGUAAUACGUAGGGGGCAAGCGUUAUCCGGAUUUACGGGGUGUAAAGUGAGCGCAGACGGCUGUGCAAGUCUGGAGUGAAAGGCGGGGGCGCAACCCCCGGACUGCUCUGGAAACUGUAAAGCUGGAGUGCAGGAGAGGUAAGCGGAAUUCCUAGUGUAGCGGUGAAAUGCGUAGAUAUUAGGAGGAACACCAGUGGCGAAGGCGGCUUACUGGACUGCAACUGACGUUGAGGCUCGAAAGCGUGGGGAGCAAACAGGAUUAGAUACCCCAGUAGUC